GCCGGUCCGUUUCUCCCCUUUCUUUUUCUUUUAGCCUUUUCUUUUUCUGCUUUUCUCAUUUCUUUAAUAUCUUUUGAUUUUGAACUCCAAAUUGGUCCAAAUAAAAUCCAGAAAAUAUGUAAAAUCAUGUUCCACCAUGAUACAACUUUUGGGAGUAGUUUCCCUUCAAAAUAAAAUACAUAAAAAAUACAUUUUCCCUAUAAAUGCCUU
RNAcentral lists this long non-coding RNA (210 nucleotides) under Brachypodium distachyon (stiff brome). RNAcentral's name for it is "long non-coding RNA (BDIS_LNC003281)". Lineage: Eukaryota; Viridiplantae; Streptophyta; Magnoliopsida; Poales; Poaceae. The record is from RNAcentral.